This 496-nucleotide ribosomal RNA is filed under the name uncultured bacterium. RNAcentral describes it as "partial 16S ribosomal RNA". It matches the Rfam family "Bacterial small subunit ribosomal RNA", at positions 28 to 506 of the family's 1533-position model. The record is from RNAcentral.
GAUGAACGCUGGCGGCGUGCCUAAUACAUGCAAGUCGAGCGAACAGACGAGGAGCUUGCUCCUCUGACGUUAGCGGCGGACGGGUGAGUAACACGUGGAUAACCUACCUAUAAGACUGGGAUAACUUCGGGAAACCGGAGCUAAUACCGGAUAAUAUAUUGAACCGCAUGGUUCAAUAGUGAAAGACGGUUUUGCUGUCACUUAUAGAUGGAUCCGCGCCGCAUUAGCUAGUUGGUAAGGUAACGGCUUACCUAGGCAACGAUGCGUAGCCGACCUGAGAGGGUGAUCGGCCACACUGGAACUGAGACACGGUCCAGACUCCUACGGGAGGCAGCAGUAGGGAAUCUUCCGCAAUGGGCGAAAGCUUGACGGAGCAACGCCGCGUGAGUGAUGAAGGUCUUCGGAUCGUAAAACUCUGUUAUUAGGGAAGAACAAAUGUGUAAGUAACUAUGCACGUCUUGACGGUACCUAAUCAGAAAGCCACGGCUAACUACGU